GGGGAAUUUUGGCCAAUGGGGGAAACCCUGAUCCAGCCAUCCCGCGUGUGCGAUGAAGGCCUUCUGGUUGUAAAGCACUUUUGGCAGGAAAGAAACGUCGCGGGUUAAUACCUCGCGGAACUGACGGUACCUGAAGAAUAAGCACCGGCUAACUACGUGCCAGCAGCCGCGGUAAUACGUAGGGUGCAAGCGUUAAUCGGAAUUACUGGGCGUAAAGCGUGCGCAGGCGGUUCGGAAAGAAAGAUGUGAAAUCCCAGAGCUUAACUUUGGAACUGCAUUUUUAACUACCGGGCUAGAGUGUGUCAGAGGGAGGUGGAAUUCCGCGUGUAGCAGUGAAAUGCGUAGAUAUUAGGAGGAACUCCGAUUGCGUAGGCAGCUUACUAGGCCAUACCUGACGCUCAUGCACGAAAGCGUGGGGAUCAAACA
This 426-nucleotide ribosomal RNA is filed under the name uncultured Achromobacter sp. RNAcentral describes it as "bacterial SSU rRNA". It matches the Rfam family "Bacterial small subunit ribosomal RNA", at positions 356 to 774 of the family's 1533-position model. Lineage: Bacteria; Pseudomonadati; Pseudomonadota; Betaproteobacteria; Burkholderiales; Alcaligenaceae. The record is from RNAcentral.